UACGAAGGGGGCUAGCGUUGCUCGGAAUCACUGGGCGUAAAGGGUGCGUAGGCGGGUUUUUAAGUCAGAGGUGAAAUCCUGGAGCUCAACUCCAGAACUGCCUUUGAUACUGACUGUCUUGAGUUCGGGAGAGGUGAGUGGAAUGCCGAGUGUAGAGGUGAAAUUCGUAGAUAUUCGGCGGAACACCAGUGGCGAAGGCGACUCACUGGCCCGAUACUGACGCUGAGGCGCGAAAGCGUGGGGAGCAAACAGG
Molecule: ribosomal RNA, 253 nt
Filed under: uncultured bacterium
Lineage: Bacteria
Description: partial 16S ribosomal RNA
Rfam family: Bacterial small subunit ribosomal RNA
Source: RNAcentral